This 21-nucleotide microRNA is filed under the name Glycine max (soybean). RNAcentral's name for it is "gma-miR5371-5p". The record is from miRBase by way of RNAcentral. Lineage: Eukaryota; Viridiplantae; Streptophyta; Magnoliopsida; Fabales; Fabaceae.
UAGGAAUUAGUCACUCAGAUC